This 1131-nucleotide long non-coding RNA is filed under the name Vulpes vulpes (red fox). Its description in RNAcentral is "lncRNA (ENSVVUG00000012118.1)". The record is from RNAcentral. Lineage: Eukaryota; Metazoa; Chordata; Mammalia; Carnivora; Canidae.
AUGUCUGUAAUAUGUUGGAAGAAUAAGAGCAUUGGAGAGAAUCCAGCAAGUCCAGCAUCAGAUACUGUAGGGGAAAGGGUGGAAUUGAGAGAAAAAUGUGAAUUUGGACAUCUGUUGACCCUCAUAGGUGUUGAGUGUUUGGCCUAUGUUCGACAUUCCCAACAUGAAAUGCACUCCGUUCUGCCUGUAGAAACCCAGAACCAUGCCAAACAAGAAACACAAACGUGGUUGUGGUGCCCGAGGUCCUAGUCUGUGAUCUUUCCCCACAGCUGGCAUGUUCCCUCUGAGGCUCUGAGACAUUCCUCAUUAGCUCAGAAUGGGGACUGAAAGGCAUAUCCAAUUAAAGAGAAGGAUAAAAGGCCCUCUCUUCUGCUGGUCUUCAAACCAAGUGCCAAAGAAUAACCUUUGUACGGAUCAGGAUGGGAACUCCUGUCAGGAGUCAACCCCAAGUCUCCCUGGGGGCAACGCCUGCUGAGACCAUGCACCUUACCUGUCCCCUCAGCAAAAGAGCAUCUAGGUGGGCCUGCCCAGCAUGGUGGCAGCACAAAGUCUGGAGCCAGAAGCACAGAGGAGCAGAAAAUUCUAGGUGGGGCUAGCGGUCACUCCCUAUCCCCACUUAGCUGCUAUGCUUCAAGGUGCAUGGGUAAAUUUGCAAUAGUGUGGCUGUGAAUGCUUCUGGUGAUUGUUAGUGGUGGUGGGAGCGGGAGUGCUGCUGCUGCAAUUUCAAUCUUUGUGAUCUGACUCAGACUUAGCAGUGCAAUGUUUAACUUUUGUUUGUGGGAGGACUGUAAAGGUACCAAACAAACAUAAAGUCUAUCUGACCUUUAAGAGUGAGGACUGUACUAGUACUCUUCAUCUAACUCUACCUACAUAGCGCCCAUCCUUUGAUUCAGCAUGUCUGUGAUGCAUGUGUACAUGUGUGUGCGUGCACGUGUGUAUGUACAUGCACACGUGUGUGUGUCCCUGUGCACCAGUGUGCCUAUGUGCCCAUAGGUGUCAUCUGUUAUGUAGCAGGACAUGUUGCUGGAAUCUCCUCUUGUCUAUCAAUACACAAAACACACAUAUAUACAAUACCCAUAUACAUAAUCCCCAUCCACACAGAUUUCUCCUGUCCAUAAAUCCCCAUAAAAG